RNAcentral lists this unclassified non-coding RNA (356 nucleotides) under uncultured Acidimicrobiia bacterium. RNAcentral describes it as "contains 16S-23S intergenic spacer region". The record is from RNAcentral. Lineage: Bacteria; Bacillati; Actinomycetota; Acidimicrobiia.
UCCGAGUUGACCCCGGCAUUACCCGCUGGCAACAUAGGACAAGGGUUGCGCUCGUUGCGGGACUUAACCCAACAUCUCACGACACGAGCUGACGACAACCAUGCACCACCUGUGCGGGGCCCCGAAGGACACCGUAUCUCUACGGCUUUUCCCCGCAUGUCAAGCCCAGGUAAGGUUCUUCGCGUUGCAUCGAAUUGAGCCACACGCUCCGCCGCUUGUGCGGGCCCCCGUCAAUUCCUUUGAGUUUUAGCCUUGCGGCCGUACUCCCCAGGCGGGGCACUUAAUGCGUUAGCUACGGCACGGAACCCGUCGAUAGAGCCCCACACCUAGUGCCCAACGUUUACGGCGUGGACUAC